RNAcentral lists this transfer RNA (69 nucleotides) under Marmota marmota marmota (Alpine marmot). It matches the Rfam family "tRNA". From Rfam's summary of the family: Transfer RNA (tRNA) molecules are approximately 80 nucleotides in length. Lineage: Eukaryota; Metazoa; Chordata; Mammalia; Rodentia; Sciuridae. The record is from Rfam by way of RNAcentral. RNAcentral also lists the same sequence under 1 other name.
GGGGCUGUGGCUCAGUGGCAGAGCACUUGCCUCAUAAACAUGAGGCAUUGGAUUCAAUCCUCAGCACCA